Molecule: ribosomal RNA, 380 nt
Filed under: uncultured bacterium
Lineage: Bacteria
Also listed under: 1 other name
Description: bacterial SSU rRNA
Rfam family: Archaeal small subunit ribosomal RNA
Source: RNAcentral
CACCGGCGGCCCGAGUGGUGAUCGUGAUUAUUGGGUCUAAAGGGUCCGUAGCCGGUUUGGUCAGUCCUCCGGGAAAUCUGAUAGCUCAACUAUUAGGCUAUCGGGGGAUACUACCAGACUUGGAACCGGGAGAGGUAAGAGGUACUACAGGGGUAGGAGUGAAAUCUUGUAAUCCCUGUGGGACCACCUGUGGCGAAGGCGUCUUACCAGAACGGGUUCGACGGUGAGGGACGAAAGCUGGGGGCACGAACCGGAUUAGAUACCCGGGUAGUCCCAGCCGUAAACGAUGCUCGCUAGGUGUCAGGCAUGGCGCGACCGUGUCUGGUGCCGCAGGGAAGCCGUGAAGCGAGCCACCUGGGAAGUACGGCCGCAAGGCUGAA